CAGAAUAGAGAUAUUUAUUAGCUUUAUAUUCAAUACAUUAUUUACUUCUUUCUGUUUGUUCUGGAUUCAUUAUUUUUCAUUGGAAAGUUUUGGUAAAUUUCGUGGGUACCGGUAAACCAAAUUAAAUGUGCAACGACUUACAAAUUUUGGAUAGGGUUUUAUAAAAGAAUAAGGGAAAACCACGAAAUCAAAUAUCCAAGGACAUGCGAGUUUUCUUCUAUCCACGAAAAUUGGUACCCACAAAAAUAAAUUAAUCCACAUUAUUUAUUAUCAAUGUUCAUAUAACCAGUGAAAUACGAC
Molecule: long non-coding RNA, 300 nt
Filed under: Mytilus galloprovincialis (Mediterranean mussel)
Lineage: Eukaryota; Metazoa; Mollusca; Bivalvia; Mytilida; Mytilidae
Source: RNAcentral